Molecule: long non-coding RNA, 2987 nt
Organism: Mytilus californianus (California mussel)
Lineage: Eukaryota; Metazoa; Mollusca; Bivalvia; Mytilida; Mytilidae
Exons: 3
Source: RefSeq, a predicted model, not a curated record
UUCAUCCUUCAACUUAACAUCAUCUAAAAGCUUUGGAAACUAUUAUGAGUUGGAUUUAAUUCACCAAUCUGCAGACACACCGCAUUGCAAUGUGGAAGUGAUAGUAAAAUGUAAACUCAUAAAAGAGUACAUCAUUUCAAAUGAAGAUCUCCGGAAAUGCUUUUCAAAAGAAAAUCCAUCCAAAGAAUUAUACUUUAUAUUACUGGUUACAUUCAUUCCCCUUACACUGAUUAUAAUAAUUAUCUCAUUGGUAAUCUGUAAAAUAAAGAAAACAGAAAAUGCUAAAGAAAUCAAUAAUAAGACGGAUACACACCAGAGUGAUAGUUAUUAUAUAGAAAUCAGAAUAGAUGAAGAAUCUGAAGAGAACGAAAGACUUGAACAUCGGUAAAAAGAAAACAUCGAAAAUCAAAACUUUCCCAUUAAGAUCCAAAAAAUGUGUCAAAUACUACCUAUGUUUUCGACAUGUAUAGUAAAUGUAGUACACAGCAUGCCAAAUGAGGGAUAUUGACUCUGAGAUAUAUAUUGAAUGUUACCAUAAAUCGUCGUUAUUCAAGAGUGAGCUUUGCCCAGUUGUUAACCCUGUUUUAUGCCAACAUAUUUCUAUGAUAGUUUCUAGGCUAAAAGCUGAGCUGUUUAAUAAAUAUUUUGGUUAUCUUGAUCAGAUCCAUGAAUUGACUACGAUAAAAAAAUGUGUAAAGUUCACUUUUACUUUUAAACAAAGCAUUAAUAAGAAUUUGACACAGUCCAAAUAAGUUUCUGUUUUAUACAAUGUAUUGCGUGAACAAGUAUUUUGAUUUGUAUAUUAUAUAUUUUUGCUAAAUGUACCUUAUUACUGUUUGGGUAAAUUGAAUUCUGUGAUUGCAAACUUAACUACAUGUUCAUAUCUGUAUUUUAUUGAAUUGUAAUUCGUAUGUUAUGACCUCAGGGAAUAUUUGUUUGUUGUUCCUAACUAUGUUUACUCUUUUAAUCAAACAUUUGGUUUUUAUUAUUAUUAUAUAAAAGAAGUCAUUAAUAAGUCAGUAGUAUGAUAUUUAUUUUUAAAAAUGAUAUAAGUUUAAUAUAUUUGUUAAUUCCUAUUCAUUAAUAUGCACACUUAAACGUGUGUUGUGCUGUGUCUUAUAUUGUUGAUCUCAUUGUACUAAAAAUUUCAUGUUUGGUUUAAAAAAGGAAAUGUCAGAUAUUGUUUUUUUUUUUAUUUUUGGUGGUUUUUUUUUUUUUUAUCUCAUUGAAUUAUAUUUGCAAACAGUAAACAUCUGCAUUCCGGAAUAAAGUUUAUAAAAGAUUUCACUGAAAACAGUGUUUAAUUAUUUAGAAUUUACCACAGCUUGUAGAUUGCAUUAAAUUAUCUUUUAAUUGACAUUUUCAUUUGCUCAAUUCUCAGGUGACUAUUUUGCAUAUUAUUCAUGGAAAAUAAUGUGUUAACUCACACAACUAGUUACCUUGAAUAAGUUUUGUAAAUUAUGUUGGUGUGUUUUGUUUUAAGCACCACUUAUUACGUAUACGUUUUAGUUUAUGUCUCGCCUACGACGAAAACCGCAGAAUGCGAGACAUAGGGAUUACUAUCCUGCGGCGGUGUUGUAACUAGUUUUGGAUCAAGUUUAUAUAUUUCAUUAAGUAAAAGACCUAUAUGCAUCACAUCUUGUAUGCAGAUACCUUUUGUUACAAAAUGUCCGUCUGUUAUAUGUACAUGGUCUUUGACCACAUUUUCAUUGUGCACCGACUGCAUGUAAAAUUUAAAAGUUGUUUAGUCAUGUGAAUUUUGCACGUUCUAUGAGUGAUAGGACAACCAUAUUUGGUUGAUAAGUUCCUUGCAAUGUAUACAUGUCUGUCACACAAGGAUCAGCUGACCGCGACCACAUGUCAUGGAUCACUCUUGAAGAUUAAAAUUAUGUGAUGAUAUCCGUAUCUCAGAUACUAUAAGCAGUUAGGUCAACUGUAUAUGGUGUAUGGAAUUACUGUAAUGAGUACAUGUCAGUCUUGCAUGUAUCAUCCGACAUUGACCUCAUUUUCAUGGAUCAUUAGUCAAUGUUCAGUUUUCACAGUUUGGUUUGUUUCUUUGAUACUAAAAGCAAAAGGUCAACUAUAUUUGGUGUGUUACAUGAUUUUAAGGUAUACAUGUAUGUCUUCCAGGGUUUGUCGGACCUUUACAUAAUUGUAAUCGACCAAUGAUUAUGUUACAAUUGUUCGAUACUUGCAGUACAAAUUUUGUUUAAAAACUUUAAACAUUAAAUCAAUCAUGGUCAGCACAGCAGGCGAGACUUUUCAGCAUGUGCACUUUUUUCAUAUUUGUAUCUAGAUUGCCUUAAAGAGAAAUAUCAUCUAGUGCACAUUGAUUUCUUUAUAUCAUUUUUCAAUUAGCAACACAUACAUUUAGUUAUAAAACUACAGAGAAAAAAAUAAUAGAUUAAUUGGGAUAACUGAUGUGAAUUGUAGUGUAUGCUUUCCAUACAUUAUGCAAGCCCCAUCCGAAAUUGAAACGAUGUUUAUUCGGUCUUUUUUUUUAUUAGAACAUAUGACAGGUUUACAUCUAAGAAAUUGGGUUAUAUUUGCUGUUGAUAAUUUGAAUAACUGCAUAAAUCUCUUCUCUCAAAAUGACGUUUUUGUUAUAAUAGAAAAAUGCAGAAUAUUUGGUAUCCAUCAAUGACACAAAAUCAGUACAUGCACAGCAUAAAACACACAAAAAUCAUUUGUCCCAUUAUGCUGCAACGCAUUGUUAUAUUUUGAAGUAUCAACUUUCAAUAAGGAUAAUCAAAAGUUAGUGAAGUAACCAAUUUGAUAUUUUCCACUAGUUAUUACUGUUAGAUAUGUUACUUAACAAUUAUUGAAGAUUUAAAUGAAAAGAACACUUUAUAAAUGUGUGCUUCCCUUAAUUUUCUAUAUUCACACAUUAUACUUAUGAUACAAGAUGUAUGUAUAUUUUGUAAAUCUUAUAUUUUGUAUGUAUAUAAAUAUAUGUAUAUAAUUUGAACAUGAGCACGUAUAAAUAG